AUGGGCGCAAGCNUGAUGCAGCGACGCCGCGUCGAGGGAUGACGGCUCUUCGGGUUGUAAACCCUCUGUAGCAUCGAAAAAACCAAAAGUGACGGUAGGUGCAGAGAAAGCCGCCGGCCUAACUACGUGCCAGCCAGCCGCGGUAAUACGUAGGGCGCCGAGCGUGUCCCGGAAUUAUUGGGCGUAAAGAGCUUUGUAGGCGGUUGGUCGCGUCUGCUGUGAAAGGCUGGGGCUUAACCCUGGUUUUGCAGUGGGUACGGGCUAACUAGAGUGCAGUAGGGGAGACUGGAAUUCCUGGUGUAGCGGUGGAAUGCGCAGAUAUCAGGAGGAACACCGAUGGCGAAGGCAGGUCUCUGGGCUGUAACUGACGCUGAGAAGCGAAAGCAUGGGGAGCGAACAGGAUUAGAUACCCUGGUAGUCCAUGCCGUAAACGUUGGGCACUAGGUGUGGGGGACAUUCCACGUUUUCCGCGCCGUAGCUAACGCAUUAAGUGCCCCGCCUGGGGAGUACGGCCGCAAGGCUAAAAACUCAAAGAAAAUUGACGGGGGCCCGCACAAGGCGGCGGAGCAUGCGGAUUAAUUCGAUGCAAACGCGAAGAACCUUACCAAGGCUUGACAUAUACUGGACUGCGUCAGAGAUGGCGUUUCCCUUCGGGGCUGGUAUACAGGUGGUGCAUGGUUGUCGUCAGCUCGUGUCGUGAGAUGUUGGGUUAAGUCCCGCAACGAGCGCGAACCCUCGUUCUAUGUUGCCAGCACGUGAUGGUGGGGACUCAUAGGAGACUGCCGGGGUCGAACUCGGAGGAAGGUGGGGAUGACGUCGAAAUCAUCGAUGCCCCUUAUGUCUUGGGCUUCGACGCAUGCUACGAAUGGCCGGUACAGAGGGUUGCGAUACUGUGAGGUGGAGCUAAUCCCUAAAAGCCGGUCUCGGUUCGGAUUGGGGUUCUGCGAACUCGAACCCCGUGAAAGUUCGGAAGUCGCUAGGAAUCGCGGAAUCGGGCGAACGCUGCGGUAAAGACGUUUCCCGGGCCAUGGAGACGCC
This 1038-nucleotide ribosomal RNA is filed under the name uncultured bacterium. Its description in RNAcentral is "bacterial SSU rRNA". It matches the Rfam family "Bacterial small subunit ribosomal RNA", at positions 371 to 1391 of the family's 1533-position model. The record is from RNAcentral.